RNAcentral lists this ribosomal RNA (247 nucleotides) under uncultured bacterium. RNAcentral describes it as "partial 16S ribosomal RNA". It matches the Rfam family "Bacterial small subunit ribosomal RNA", at positions 15 to 244 of the family's 1533-position model. The record is from RNAcentral.
GAUCAUGGCUCAGGACGAACGCUGGCGGCGUGCCUAACACAUGCAAGUCGAACGGGGUACCCCGGACCGAGGCUUCGGCCGAGGGAAGGGACUACCUAGUGGCGGACGGGUGAGUAACGCGUGAGUAAUCUGCCUUCAGGAGGGGGAUAACAGCCGGAAACGGCUGCUAAUACCGCAUGAUGUCAGAGGGGAGCAUUUUUUUCUGACCAAAGAUUUAUCGCCUGAAGAUGAGCUCGCGUCUGAUUAG